AAGAAACAAGCUGAUGAAACCGAAGCUAUUCUAGACAAGACACCUGGAGGAAAAAAAGGGAGAAUAUGCACUUCGACUUUUCAUAAAGGUGUUGUGUCAUUAUUAAGUUUUUGCCGACGAAUGCAACAUACGGUACCUUAUAUGUGUCAUUUAUAUUUGAAUCUAACAUGAACAGGGCAAGAAGUUGCGGCGCCUAUCCAACAUUUUAGGUUGACGUGACCCUGAAUAUGUUUC
RNAcentral lists this long non-coding RNA (234 nucleotides) under Hordeum vulgare. Its description in RNAcentral is "long non-coding RNA (HVUL_LNC019650)". The record is from RNAcentral. Lineage: Eukaryota; Viridiplantae; Streptophyta; Magnoliopsida; Poales; Poaceae.